GCAGUGGUGGUUCAGUGAUAGAAUGCUCACCUUCCAUGAGGGAGACCUGGGUUUGGUUCCCAGCCAAUGGC
RNAcentral lists this transfer RNA (71 nucleotides) under Loxodonta africana (African savanna elephant). It matches the Rfam family "tRNA". Rfam says of the family: Transfer RNA (tRNA) molecules are approximately 80 nucleotides in length. Their secondary structure includes four short double-helical elements and three loops (D, anti-codon, and T loops). Further hydrogen bonds mediate the characteristic L-shaped molecular structure. tRNAs have two regions of fundamental functional importance: the anti-codon, which is responsible for specific mRNA codon recognition, and the 3' end, to which the tRNAs corresponding amino acid is attached (by aminoacyl-tRNA synthetases). tRNAs cope with the degeneracy of the genetic code in two manners: having more than one tRNA (with a specific anti-codon) for a particular amino acid; and 'wobble' base-pairing, i.e. permitting non-standard base-pairing at the 3rd anti-codon position. Lineage: Eukaryota; Metazoa; Chordata; Mammalia; Proboscidea; Elephantidae. The record is from Rfam by way of RNAcentral.